This is a long non-coding RNA of Dromaius novaehollandiae (emu), 524 nucleotides long. RefSeq lists it as uncharacterized. The record is from RefSeq and is a predicted model, not a curated record. Lineage: Eukaryota; Metazoa; Chordata; Aves; Casuariiformes; Dromaiidae. The transcript has 3 exons.
AACAGAAGUGUCAUUAACUCGCAGAUGACAUGAGCUGAUUAACUGGCCAUACCUGCCCCUCUUUGCUGCUACGAGCUCAGCUCAGGCCCUUGGUGCUGGGACCGACGGGGAGCAGGAACCGAGCUGGGGUGCUGGAGGCCGACUUCAGUGUCCUUGCUGGGACUCCAGCGGCUUUGGCUGUGCAUCUGAAUGCCGCAGGGUUGCCAUUAAGGACAAGAUUCGAAUCACAUGAUUGAACUAAUAUUACUGAGAAUGAUGCAACCAGAAUAGCUAUUCAAGCCUCAUGGCCUUAAAUGAUUUAUGCAGAGCCCACCUCCAUCCCUCCCCCUGCGUUUCCCCAUCAGUGCUGACAUUUCUUCGUGAAUAUUUAAGAUCUAAGAACAAACAACAGCAAUGGAGGGAUUCACAGACUCAAGAGUCUGUAACCUGAAUCUGGUUUCCCCAGAUUUCCAGGUAUCCAGAAUAAGAAGAUAAUGUGACAGUCUCGUAAUUGUGCCUAACAUUGGAUCUGUGUGUUGAUAGCA